This 253-nucleotide ribosomal RNA is filed under the name uncultured bacterium. RNAcentral describes it as "partial 16S ribosomal RNA". It matches the Rfam family "Bacterial small subunit ribosomal RNA", at positions 524 to 776 of the family's 1533-position model. The record is from RNAcentral.
UACGUAGGGUGCAAGCGUUGUCCGGAAUUAUUGGGCGUAAAGAGCUCGUAGGCGGUCUGUUGCGUCGGCUGUGAAAACCCGAGGCUCAACCUCGGGCCUGCAGCCGAUACGGGCAGACUAGAGUUCGGCAGGGGAGACUGGAAUUCCUGGUGUAGCGGUGAAAUGCGCAGAUAUCAGGAGGAACACCGGUGGCGAAGACGGGUCUCUGGGCCGAUACUGACGCUGAGGAGCGAAAGCGUGGGGAGCGAACAGG